GACGAACGCUGGCGGCGUGCUUAACACAUGCAAGUCGAACGGAAAGGCCCGGCUUUUGUGGGGUGCUCGAGUGGCGAACGGGUGAGUAACACGUGAGUAACCUGCCCUUGACUUUGGGAUAACUUCAGGAAACUGGGGCUAAUACCGGAUAUGAGCUCCUGCUGCAUGGGGGGGGUUGGAAAGUGUCGGCGGUUCGGGAUGGACUCGCGGGUUAUCAGCUUGUUGGUGGGGUAGUGGCUGACCAAGGCUUUGACGGGUAGCCGGCCUGAGAGGGUGACCGGCGACCAUGGGACUGCGGGACGGAGCAGACGGCAACGGGAGGCAGUAGUGGGGAAUAUUGCGCAACGGGCGGAAGUCUGAGGCAGCAACGUUGCGUGCGGGAUGCCGGGCUUCGGGUUGUAAACCGCUUUGGCAUGUGAUGAAGCGUGCGUGACGGUAAUGGGUAAAGAAGCACCGGCUAACUACGUG
Molecule: ribosomal RNA, 468 nt
Filed under: uncultured bacterium
Lineage: Bacteria
Description: partial 16S ribosomal RNA
Rfam family: Bacterial small subunit ribosomal RNA
Source: RNAcentral